This 1359-nucleotide ribosomal RNA is filed under the name Pediococcus acidilactici. RNAcentral's name for it is "16S ribosomal RNA". It matches the Rfam family "Bacterial small subunit ribosomal RNA", at positions 93 to 1440 of the family's 1533-position model. The record is from RNAcentral. Lineage: Bacteria; Bacillati; Bacillota; Bacilli; Lactobacillales; Lactobacillaceae.
GAGUGGCGGACGGGUGAGUAACACGUGGGUAACCUGCCCAGAAGCAGGGGAUAACACCUGGAAACAGAUGCUAAUACCGUAUAACAGAGAAAACCGCCUGGUUUUCUUUUAAAAGAUGGCUCUGCUAUCACUUCUGGAUGGACCCGCGGCGCAUUAGCUAGUUGGUGAGGUAACGGCUCACCAAGGCGAUGAUGCGUAGCCGACCUGAGAGGGUAAUCGGCCACAUUGGGACUGAGACACGGCCCAGACUCCUACGGGAGGCAGCAGUAGGGAAUCUUCCACAAUGGACGCAAGUCUGAUGGAGCAACGCCGCGUGAGUGAAGAAGGGUUUCGGCUCGUAAAGCUCUGUUGUUAAAGAAGAACGUGGGUGAGAGUAACUGUUCACCCAGUGACGGUAUUUAACCAGAAAGCCACGGCUAACUACGUGCCAGCAGCCGCGGUAAUACGUAGGUGGCAAGCGUUAUCCGGAUUUAUUGGGCGUAAAGCGAGCGCAGGCGGUCUUUUAAGUCUAAUGUGAAAGCCUUCGGCUCAACCGAAGAAGUGCAUUGGAAACUGGGAGACUUGAGUGCAGAAGAGGACAGUGGAACUCCAUGUGUAGCGGUGAAAUGCGUAGAUAUAUGGAAGAACACCAGUGGCGAAGGCGGCUGUCUGGUCUGUAACUGACGCUGAGGCUCGAAAGCAUGGGUAGCGAACAGGAUUAGAUACCCUGGUAGUCCAUGCCGUAAACGAUGAUUACUAAGUGUUGGAGGGUUUCCGCCCUUCAGUGCUGCAGCUAACGCAUUAAGUAAUCCGCCUGGGGAGUACGACCGCAAGGUUGAAACUCAAAAGAAUUGACGGGGGCCCGCACAAGCGGUGGAGCAUGUGGUUUAAUUCGAAGCUACGCGAAGAACCUUACCAGGUCUUGACAUCUUCUGCCAACCUAAGAGAUUAGGCGUUCCCUUCGGGGACAGAAUGACAGGUGGUGCAUGGUUGUCGUCAGCUCGUGUCGUGAGAUGUUGGGUUAAGUCCCGCAACGAGCGCAACCCUUAUUACUAGUUGCCAGCAUUCAGUUGGGCACUCUAGUGAGACUGCCGGUGACAAACCGGAGGAAGGUGGGGACGACGUCAAAUCAUCAUGCCCCUUAUGACCUGGGCUACACACGUGCUACAAUGGAUGGUACAACGAGUUGCGAAACCGCGAGGUUUAGCUAAUCUCUUAAAACCAUUCUCAGUUCGGACUGUAGGCUGCAACUCGCCUACACGAAGUCGGAAUCGCUAGUAAUCGCGGAUCAGCAUGCCGCGGUGAAUACGUUCCCGGGCCUUGUACACACCGCCCGUCACACCAUGAGAGUUUGUAACACCCAAAGCCGGUGGGGUAACC